UACAGAGGGGGCAAGCGUUGUUCGGAAUUACUGGGCGUAAAGCGCGUGUAGGUGGCGAGGCAAGUCGGGUGUGAAAGCCCUGGGCUCAACCCAGGAAGUGCACUCGAUACUGCCUAGCUAGAGUCCCGGAGAGGUUGGUGGAACUCUCGGUGUAGAGGUGAAAUUCGUAGAUAUCGAGAAGAACACCGGUGGCGAAGGCGGCCAACUGGACGGUGACUGACACUGAGACGCGAAAGCGUGGGGAGCAAACAGG
Molecule: ribosomal RNA, 253 nt
Filed under: uncultured bacterium
Lineage: Bacteria
Description: partial 16S ribosomal RNA
Rfam family: Bacterial small subunit ribosomal RNA
Source: RNAcentral